RNAcentral lists this ribosomal RNA (242 nucleotides) under uncultured bacterium. RNAcentral describes it as "partial 16S ribosomal RNA". It matches the Rfam family "Bacterial small subunit ribosomal RNA", at positions 100 to 334 of the family's 1533-position model. The record is from RNAcentral.
CCGGCACGGGUGAGUAACACGUAUGCAAUCCCCCUGUAACAGGGGGAGUAACCCGGAGAAAUCCGGACUAAUACCCCAUAAUAUGGGCGCUCCGCAUGGAGAGCCCAUUAAAGAGAGCAAUUUUGGUUACAGACGAGCAUGCGCUCCAUUAGCCAGUUGGCGGGGUAACGGCCCACCAAAGCGACGAUGGAUAGGGGUUCUGAGAGGAAGGUCCCCCACAUUGGAACUGAGACACGGUCCAA